RNAcentral lists this ribosomal RNA (475 nucleotides) under uncultured bacterium. Its description in RNAcentral is "bacterial SSU rRNA". It matches the Rfam family "Bacterial small subunit ribosomal RNA", at positions 335 to 799 of the family's 1533-position model. The record is from RNAcentral.
ACUCCUACGGGAGGCAGCAGUGGGGAAUAUUUGCACAAUGGGCGCAAGCCUGAUGCAGCCAUGCCGCGUGUGUGAAGAAGGCCUUCGGGUUGUAAAGCACUUUCAGUCGUGAGGAAGGUAGUGCAGUUAAUAGCUGCAUUAUUUGUACGUUAGCGACAGAAGAAGCACCGGCUAACUCCGUGCCAGCAGCCGCGGUAAUACGGAGGGUGCGAGCGUUAAUCGGAAUUACUGGGCGUAAAGCGCAUGCAGGUGGUUUGUUAAGUCAGAUGUGAAAGCCCGGGGCUCAACCUCGGAAUUGCAUUUGAAACUGGCAGACUAGAGUACUGUAGAGGGGGGUAGAAUUUCAGGUGUAGCGGUGAAAUGCGUAGAGAUCUGAAGGAAUACCGGUGGCGAAGGCGGCCCCCUGGACAGAUACUGACACUCAGAUGCGAAAGCGUGGGGAGCAAACAGGAUUAGAUACCCUGGUAGGAUAGCG